RNAcentral lists this transfer RNA (73 nucleotides) under Podarcis lilfordi (Lilford's wall lizard). Its description in RNAcentral is "tRNA.Lys". The stretch from base 8 to 64 matches the Rfam family "tRNA", at positions 9 to 63 of the family's 71-position model. Rfam says of the family: Transfer RNA (tRNA) molecules are approximately 80 nucleotides in length. Their secondary structure includes four short double-helical elements and three loops (D, anti-codon, and T loops). Further hydrogen bonds mediate the characteristic L-shaped molecular structure. tRNAs have two regions of fundamental functional importance: the anti-codon, which is responsible for specific mRNA codon recognition, and the 3' end, to which the tRNAs corresponding amino acid is attached (by aminoacyl-tRNA synthetases). tRNAs cope with the degeneracy of the genetic code in two manners: having more than one tRNA (with a specific anti-codon) for a particular amino acid; and 'wobble' base-pairing, i.e. permitting non-standard base-pairing at the 3rd anti-codon position. Lineage: Eukaryota; Metazoa; Chordata; Lepidosauria; Squamata; Lacertidae. The record is from RNAcentral.
UGUGCAAGGCUCAGUUGGAAGAGCAUGAGACUCUUAAUCUCAGGGUUGUAGGUUUGAGUCCCAUGUUGGGCAA